RNAcentral lists this ribosomal RNA (497 nucleotides) under uncultured bacterium. Its description in RNAcentral is "partial 16S ribosomal RNA". It matches the Rfam family "Bacterial small subunit ribosomal RNA", at positions 28 to 507 of the family's 1533-position model. The record is from RNAcentral.
GAUGAACGCUGGCGGCGUGCCUAAUACAUGCAAGUCGAGCGAACAGACGAGAAGCUUGCUCCUCUGACGUUAGCGGCGGACGGGUGAGUAACACGUGGAUAACCUACCUAUAAGACUGGGAUAACUUCGGGAAACCGGAGCUAAUACCGGAUAAUAUAUUGAACCGCAUGGUUCAAUAGUGAAAGACGGUUUUGCUGUCACUUAUAGAUGGAUCCGCGCCGCAUUAGCUAGUUGGUAAGGUAACGGCUUACCAAGGCAACGAUGCGUAGCCGACCUGAGAGGGUGAUCGGCCACACUGGAACUGAGACACGGUCCAGACUCCUACGGGAGGCAGCAGUAGGGAAUCUUCCGCAAUGGGCGAAAGCCUGACGGAGCGACGCCGCGUGAGUGAUGAAGGUCUUCGGAUCGUAAAACUCUGUUAUUAGGGAAGAACAAGUGUGUAAGUAACUAUGCACGUCUUGACGGUACCUAAUCAGAAAGCCACGGCUAACUACGUG